CUACGGGACGCAGCAGUCGAGAAUAUUCGACAAUGGGCGAAAGCCUGAUCGAGCGACGCCGCGUGCAGGAUGAAGGUCUUCGGAUUGUAAACUGCUUUUAUUAGGGAAAAACCUUCGGGUGAUCGUACCUAAUGAAUAAGGGGGUACUAACUCUGUGCCAGCAGUAGCGGUAAUACAGAGCCCCCGAGCGUUAUCCGGAUUUAUUGGGCGUAAAGGGUCCGUAGGCGGCAAGGCAAGUCUUAGGUUAAAUACCCAGAGCUUAACUUUGGGGGUGCCCAAGAUACUACCUAGCUAGAGGACGUCAGAGGCUGGCGGAACGCACGGCGUAGGGGUGAAAUCCGUUGAUAUCGUGCGGACCACCAAAAGCGAAGGCAGCCAGCUGGGACGAUCCUGACGCUGAGGGACGAAAGCGUGGGGAGCAAAAAGGAUUAGAUACCCUCGUAGUC
RNAcentral lists this ribosomal RNA (446 nucleotides) under uncultured bacterium. Its description in RNAcentral is "partial 16S ribosomal RNA". It matches the Rfam family "Bacterial small subunit ribosomal RNA", at positions 339 to 795 of the family's 1533-position model. The record is from RNAcentral.